RNAcentral lists this ribosomal RNA (253 nucleotides) under uncultured bacterium. RNAcentral describes it as "partial 16S ribosomal RNA". It matches the Rfam family "Bacterial small subunit ribosomal RNA", at positions 524 to 776 of the family's 1533-position model. The record is from RNAcentral.
CACGUAGGGCGCAAGCGUUGUCCGGAAUUAUUGGGCGUAAAGAGCUCGUAGGCGGUCUGUUACGUCUGCUGUGAAAUUUCGGGGCUCAACCCCGAACUUGCAGUGGGUACGGGCAGACUAGAGUGUGGUAGGGGAGACUGGAAUUCCUGGUGUAGCGGUGAAAUGCGCAGAUAUCAGGAGGAACACCAAUGGCGAAGGCAGCUCGCUGGGACGGUACUGACGCUGAGGCGCGAAAGCGUGGGGAGCAAACAGG